CUCGGUGCGGGCCGCGCCUCGCGCCUCUGCUUCGAGGAACGGGCCUUGGAGGGAAGCGUGACAGGCCCCGGGGAAACACACGAGCCCACACACGCAGGCCAGACAAACGGUCAGAAACCACCUCUGCAAACGGCCUUUCUGCGGGGAGUAGCCCGGAAGUACCCAGCCAUCCGGGGAAACAGCCCUCAAUGCUGAGCGAACCUCCGGCGUGGUUUCAGCUGGUGCUCAGGAGGAGAGGACACCAGCCUGAAGCAGUCCAGCCAGGAACCGGACCCGACACGGAGCCCAAACGCGCACAGGUCUGCAGAGAGCAGCUGCGGCAGGCGGCGGGGCGGACAGAGCAGGGACUCAGGAAAGCUCUGCGAGGUCAAAGGCCCUUCAUCCAGGCCGACCCCACUGUGCCAGCUUCCCGGGUCCUCACUGGUUCUGAAAAAGAGCUCGUCUAACCCUCGAGUGGUCCAGCAGAGCGAGAGGACGGGGAGCACCUAGAAAGUCAGGUACUGAACAUGCGUCCGUUGAAUACAUGUGUGCCCACAGACUGAAAGGGGAGCUCCGAGUGUGCUGUGUCACCAACAGCUGCAGAGCCGACAGACAGCCUAGGCGUCCCGGCUUCCAGAGGCAACUGCAGGAUUCUAACCAACACCUUUUAACUUAUGCAAUAACAUCUUACAUGGAGGCACAUUUAUGAUCACCGAUGAGAGAGAAACUACACACAUAUAAAACUAGCUGUUUAUGUCAUCUUUAAAUAAUGUCUUCCAUUUCCUUUGCCAUAAUGAAGAUGCGGCCGUGGACUAGGCCUCUUGGAGGCUGAUUCGAUUCUGUAAUUGCUGUUCUUUGAAAUGAGCUAGCUGUUUUAUCUAAUGAUUUAGGGGACCAUUACUUGACAAUUAGGGUGUAACCUACUUUGGGGAAUUGCCCGUGUCUCUAUGUAAAUACCACCAUCCCAGUUUAGUAACCCAAGUGGGUGAGUCAAGAUGGGGGGCUGGGUGACAAGUACUAAGCUCCACAGAUCCUUCACACGAACACUUGUCUCAUGUGGUAAAAUGUAAAUGCCAUCACCUCACAUGCCUCUUCACAAUAUGGCAACUAAAACCUCCGACCCAGCACCUUCAUCAGGAACCAGCUCCUCUGGGCUUUCUUCCCGUUUUCCACAUCUUCCGCGCAUACAGAGUUCUGACAUUUGCAUUAGUGUUGGCCACACUAGUAAUUUCAAAACAAGUAUUUUGCAGCAAACAACCAAUAUUCUUGUCACUAAGUAUUCCGAGUUAUGCAGAUGGUGCACAUUUAAGACCCUUGCAUUGAGAUCUCUAGUAUCUGCUAGACUGGGUUUGGUCACUGUCUUUGGCUAUGGUCCCCUAGGGUGUAUUGGGGAAAAGGGUCCCGAGAGUCCAGGAUGUGUGACCCCACAUAUCCUGUGCUUGACAACACAAAACUACUUCUAAACAAAAUAUAGCUUGACAGCUACAAGCCAUUAGAUACUAGCAGGCAAAAUCCUUAAGUUACUGGUAUCUUUUAAAUAAUCAUCCACUUAAUAUUGAGCUCAGACUAUGUGCCAGGUACUGCAUUUGAAUAUACUUUGUAGUGUCUAAUUCCUAACCUAAAGUACUUACUGAAUAUAUGUUUGAUGUAGGGAAAGAAUAUCACAAUGGAAGUUCAGGGGCCUUGGGUCCUAAAAUUCAUGGCAAAGUCACUCUAGCAACCUGUCUGGGAAUCAACUCUUUAUUACUCCUAAAGUUUCUUCCAACCUAAAAAAAUAAAAUAAAAUCCACAAUUACCUUGAAA
Molecule: long non-coding RNA, 1782 nt
Organism: Eptesicus fuscus (big brown bat)
Lineage: Eukaryota; Metazoa; Chordata; Mammalia; Chiroptera; Vespertilionidae
Exons: 4
Source: RefSeq, a predicted model, not a curated record